This 4458-nucleotide long non-coding RNA is filed under the name Meleagris gallopavo (turkey). RNAcentral describes it as "lncRNA (ENSMGAG00000020634.1)". The record is from RNAcentral. Lineage: Eukaryota; Metazoa; Chordata; Aves; Galliformes; Phasianidae.
AUUUCAUACUGUGAGAAUAUAUACCUGGUAUAUAAAUAAGAGGUUAUUUAAUGCGUGUUCAGGAGUAAUUACAUAAACACCACUGACAGUAAAAGCAUUCAGGAAGGAGCCUUGCUGUCUUUCUGUAUGCAUACCUUCAGGCUUCCUCGUAUUAUAAAACAUGAAGUCUAUUACCAAAGAAGAAAUCCUUUUUUGGAGGGUGAGGACAGUGGUAUAGUCUUAUGAGACUGCUCAUUCUUUUUUCUUCUCUAGGUAUGGCCCUAAAAUGCCUCUUGCAGUGGAUUGCACUGCUGAACUGAUUCGUUGCAAGGUCCUGGAUUCAUCUGGCAAAUUGAGAUCACAUGAACUCAUUCUCUCAUAUGGUCUAGCUCUUGUAAGGUUUGUCAACUUGAUCACAGAAAGAAAACAGAAAACAGUCAGCGUUCCUCUGAGAAAACUAGCCAUAGAGGUAAAUAUCUAAAGAAAGUUUCUCAGUAACCCAUGCAUAGAGAAAGCAUAUACAUAUUUUGUAUUAAUAAUAGCAGAUCAUUUUUUUCUUAAAGAUAUAGAGCCCAAUUCAUUCUGACAACAAAGAAGUAAUACAAUGAGAAAGUACAGCAAUAAUAGCAGCUAUAAAUACAGGAAGGAAGGAAGGAAACUCACAACUACUUACCUUAAAAAACAAAACCAAAAAANNNNNNNNNNNNNNNNNNNNNNNNNNNNNNNNNNNNNNNNNNNNNNNNNNNNNNNNNNNNNNNNNNNNNNNNNNNNNNNNNNNNNNNNNNNNNNNNNNNNCGCUGGAGGGACCCUCUGCGAGGCCGCCUCGGAAGGGGAGCGGCGUUGGUGGCGGCGGCUGAGGCCCACCGGGGCAAAAGCUGAGGAGUGGUCCAUCGUCCCCGAAAUCAGAAUGAGACAUCUGAAAUGCCUAUGCUGCAGGAUGCUCCAGCUACAAUAUCUUCAGAAAUCCCUGCUGUGAAUGUGCUGCACCAAGAUCUGACCUCCACUACAGACCUCUCCUUUGCCAGCUGCUGAGAAAGGAUUGAAGUAUCAAGUAGUCCAUUUGCUUACCUAUAUUUAAAGGCUUAGCCAUGUGUGAAAACAAACCCAUUCAUGGAUUCCUUGAGAGCUACAGACAAGAGUUAUCUUUCCUACCCAACUGAAGGAUGAGAUUUUAAAGGGUAAAAGAGUCAGCUGUCAAAACCUCCUCCUUGGAAGAGUCUGUACAGAUAAGUAACAUUGCCUCAAAAAUGCCAUUAUUUCCAGCCCACUCAGGGCCUAGAUAAUAUUCAAGUAUUUCAGAAUUUUAAGCAUUCUUCUGGGAGAAGACCUGGUAUUUCUCUGGGGAUUUAUUAUCUUGGUUUUCUUCAGAUCACAUAUUCUUUUAGAUAGAAAAAGCACACCAGUGAUGUGGUCUGGAAAAAAAAAAAAAAAAAAAAGAAAGAAAUAUUUAGCAUGAGCUCUUUCUUCAAUAUACAGCUUUCUUGGAUUAAUGCUGGGUAACUUGAAACUUUCCCAUAGCUUUGAAAGAAUCAUAGAAUUUGGGUUGGAAGGGACCUUUAAGAUCAUCUAGUUCCAACCCGCUGCUAUAGGCAGGGACACCUCCUGCUAGACCAGAUUGCUCAAAGCCCCAUCCAGUCUGGCCUUGAAUGCUUCCAGGGAGGGGGCACAAACUCAUUGAGGGCAACUGUCCAGUCAAUUCCUUAUUCUGUGAGUGGUCCAGCCAUCAAAUCCAUUUUUCUCCAAUUUUGCAACCAGGAUGUCAUGAAGGACGGUGUCAAAUGCCAAGUCCACAUAGAUCCCAGAAUCACAGAAUCACCAAGGUUGGAAAAGACCUGCAAUAUCAUCCAGUCCAACCAUCCACCUAUCACCUAUCACCAUGAUGUCAGUUUCUCUUCCUUUAUCCACUGAUACUGUAAUUCCAUCAUAAAAGGCCACCAAGUUUGUCAGGCAUGACUUGUCCUUAGUGAAGCCAUUUUGGUUACCACCAAUCACCUCUUUAUUUUCCAUGUGCCUCAGUAGGGCCUUCAGGAGGACCUGCUGCAUGAUCUUGCCAGGCACAGAGGUGAGGCCUGUAGUUCCCUGGAUUAUUUUUUUUUUUUCUUCUUGAAAAUAAGGUUAUGUUUCCCCUCAUCCUAUGAGUGGGAACUUCACCAGACCACCAUGACCUUUGUCAUGUUGUUUGCUUUCUACACUUUAAAAACUUUUCAGCAAUAAGAAGAACAAGGGGGAAUCUAACAGAUAUUCUGGGACCUGACUCCAAAUAUUUGCAGCUCAAGUAAUAGAUAACACAGCUAGCAAGGACAAAACUGUGAGUGGGCAUAAACUGCCAGUUUGGAUGAAAGGCAGUGGUGUAAAAAUGCUCAGAAGGCUAGGUAGGAUUGGAACAAUGUGAGCUUUAUAGACUGACACUGCCACCUUCUCAGUGCAAGAGGAUGGGCAAAAGUACCCCUGGCCCAUUUAAUCUCAAACUAAUCAAGAGAGAUUAUUUGUAUGGAUGAUGGAGGAAUUAGCUCAUACUUUCUUAACAGGACAAUUCAAAUCUUUGUAUGUAUAAAACCCAGAAAAUUUUUUAUCUAAUAGAGCUCAGCCCAGCAAGUGCUUAUAUGCAACAGUGGCAAACUUUGUUGCAGAAAGGAAGAUGAGUUGGAUUCUUAAGCUAAGCACCCACAACGAAAUAUCACAGCUAGACUAACUGCAAAGAGAGCCUGAUCAUAACAGGAAACAGUGGAGGCAGGCCCACAGUGCUGUGAUACAUUGAGUAGGGCGUGGUGAUUGCUAAUAUUCAACCACAAAGGCUUUUAGUCCAUGCACAGCCAUGGAGAACAGCCGAGGCUUUUUCUAUUUGGUUCAUGGGAUGACAAAGGAGGAGCUCUACAGUCAGGAAGGAAGGAGGCCUUGCAAGGUAUAUUAAUCUCUUGCGGAAUCAGCAGAAUUAUACCAGGGCUGAAUUUGAGAUAAAUGAAGUGAGAGCAAAUUACUGUGGCAAUUCUUGCCAAGUUUAUUAGAAAUAUCAGAGUUCUGUGCACAAGUAUCAGUAGUUUGCCUGCCCUGGUUCAUACCGAGUAUGACAGAGACUGAUGGUCUUUGUUGAUCUUUCAUAAGAUGCACAACAAUUCCUGUGACAAGAUGUCAGUGACAUUAUGAAAGAAGAGGUAAUUUAAACUAUUCAUUCCUAUUCCUCUUCCAUAUUCUCAUUCGUAUUCCUUCCCCUCCCCCCCAAAAUCACAUAAGGUGAUUCAUUAAAGAUUUACCUGCCAGCACCCAUGGAAAAAUCUUCAAAAAGCAUAUGAGGAAUCUCUGACCAUCCAGUAAUUCUUUGUUGUUGUAGAAAAUAAAGAAGGAAAGAAUGCGUGGAGGAGGAAAGAGCUUGUUUUAUGGGAGUAGAAAGCAGCAAAUAGGAAAGAGAGCUCUGCAGGGACAGCAAUAACAAGUCUCUUCAGAAGUCCUGUGGCUGCCAUCUACACAGGAUCUGCCUACACUGUUCAAAGAUCACAGGUUUCUUUUUCAUAUAAAAAUGACCAAUUUGCUUCUCUCUGAGCAAAGUAAAAGUACCUCAGACACUGCAAAGUCACGGACCCCAUCCUAAGGAAUUUUUUAUUUUAUUUUAUUAUUAUUUUAUUUUUUUUUUUUUAGGGACAGAGACUAGAAGAUAGCUUUCCUUAGUUCCUGUAAGCUGCACCAGUGACUGGAUGAUUUUUCAUUCUUUAUUAGCCCAGCUAUAAAAUUAAUGUAAUAAUAUUGGCUCUCUUAGAGGUACAGACAAAAUGUCCAUGUUCAGGUUUCAGGCAACAGUGCAGAUGCUAUGCUAUAUUUUGUGUUAAUUAUGUUAGUAAACAUUUAUACACAGUGCCUGAACUCUUAAUUGAAAAUAAUUGUUUCCUAAUUUUUUUUAUUUUUUUUAUUUUUAUUUUUUUGAGACAGUGCAAAGAGUGUAUCCAGCCCGGCCUUGAGCAUCUCCAGGAAUGGGACACCCACACUUCUCUGGACAGCCUAUGCCAGGGCCACCCUCUGAGCAAAGAAUUUCCUCCUCACAUUUAACUUAAGACUCCCCACUUUUAGUUUAAAACCAUUUCCUCUUGUUCUAUCACUAUCAGAUCAUGUUGAAAUACCACCAGCUAAUAUUUGCAUAAUAGAUGUAGAUAAUCAAGGAGUCUAACUCUCCACAUCUUAGUAUCAUCAUGCACAGCAAAAGAUUUAAGUUUCUUCACUUGAGAAAUGUUUCUUUACUCAUGUUGCACAGUUGCCAAGAACAGCUGGAAAGUCAGCCAGGUACCUACCUGAUCCACUUACGCUAUAGAUGCACAAAUACUGCUGCAUGGUUGGAUUUGAACUUCUCAAUGUUACAGCAUAACCAUUUGUGCACUCUGUUCUUUAUAGGAAGUGGUGGUGCAGCCUGCUAAUCCAAGAAUUUCCUUGCUUACAUGAGAAAUUCAAACAGAGCAAGAGAAUAAUAGACCCUGACAUUGGUCUUGACCAAAG